Molecule: ribosomal RNA, 974 nt
Filed under: Bacillus pumilus
Lineage: Bacteria; Bacillati; Bacillota; Bacilli; Caryophanales; Bacillaceae
Description: partial 16S ribosomal RNA
Rfam family: Bacterial small subunit ribosomal RNA
Source: RNAcentral
AGGCMMCSGGUCWAAUWWCSKUGUCAGCAGGCGSGGUAAACGUAGGKGCCAGCGUGUCGGAAUUWUUGGGSKAAAGGGCUCGCAGGCGGUUUUCUUAAGUCUGAUKUGAAAGCCCCGGCUCACCGGGGAGGGUCAUUGGAAACUGGGAAACUUGAGUGCAGAAGAGGAGAGUGGAAUUCCACGUGUAGCGGUGAAAUGCGUAGAGAUGUGGAGGAACACCCAGUGGCGAAGGCGACUCUCUGGUCUGUAACUGACGCUGAGGAGCGAAAGCGUGGGGAGCGAACAGGAUUAGAUACCCUGGUAGUCCACGCCGUAAACGAUGAGUGCUAAGUGUUAGGGGGUUUCCGCCCCUUAGUGCUGCAGCUAACGCAUUAAGCACUCCGCCUGGGGAGUACGGUCGCAAGACUGAAACUCAAAGGAAUUGACGGGGGCCCGCACAAGCGGUGGAGCAUGUGGUUUAAUUCGAAGCAACGCGAAGAACCUUACCAGGUCUUGACAUCCUCUGACAACCCUAGAGAUAGGGCUUUCCCUUCGGGGACAGAGUGACAGGUGGUGCAUGGUUGUCGUCAGCUCGUGUCGUGAGAUGUUGGGUUAAGUCCCGCAACGAGCGCAACCCUUGAUCUUAGUUGCCAGCAUUCAGUUGGGCACUCUAAGGUGACUGCCGGUGACAAACCGGAGGAAGGUGGGGAUGACGUCAAAUCAUCAUGCCCCUUAUGACCUGGGCUACACACGUGCUACAAUGGACAGAACAAAGGGCUGCAAGACCGCAAGGUUUAGCCAAUCCCAUAAAUCUGUUCUCAGUUCGGAUCGCAGUCUGCAACUCGACUGCGUGAAGCUGGAAUCGCUAGUAAUCGCGGAUCAGCAUGCCGCGGKGAAUACGUUCCCGGGCCUUGUACACACCGCCCGUCACACCACGAGAGUUUGCAACACCCGAAGUCGGUGAGGKAACCWYWAWKKGGKCCCAGGKGUGSSGC